RNAcentral lists this ribosomal RNA (395 nucleotides) under Anobothrus jirkovi. RNAcentral's name for it is "partial large subunit ribosomal RNA". It matches the Rfam family "Bacterial large subunit ribosomal RNA", at positions 1932 to 2540 of the family's 2925-position model. Lineage: Eukaryota; Metazoa; Annelida; Polychaeta; Terebellida; Ampharetidae. The record is from RNAcentral.
CGCGGUAUCCUGACCGUGCUAAGGUAGCGUGAUAAUUUGUCCUUUAAUUGUGGACUUGUACGAAUGGAUGAACGAAAAUUAGGCUGUCUCUAAAAAUUAGAAAUUAAUUUUAAAGUGAAAAAGCUUUAAUAUUAGUAUAAGACAAAAAGACCCCAUAGAGCUUUAUUUUACUUUUAUAAAUAAAGAAAUAAUUUAUAUUAUUUAUUUAAAAUUAGAAAUUUAACUGGGGCGGUUGAUGAAGUUUUAAUCUUCUUUAUUUGUUUAAAAAAUAAUUUAUUGUUUAAUAAAAUAGAUCCUUUGAAAGAUUAAUAGAUAAGUUACCUUGGGGGUAACAGACUAAUUUUUUUUGAGAGUUCGUAUUGACAAAAAAGUUUGGCACCUCGAUGUUGGCUUAG